ACAGGGAUUGCCCUAGUAACGGCGAGUGAAGCGGCAACAGCUCAAAUUUGAAAUCUGGCUCUCGGGCCCGAGUUGUAAUUUGUAGAGGAUGCUUUUGAUGCGGUGCCUUCCGAGUUCCCUGGAACGGGACGCCAUAGAGGGUGAGAGCCCCGUCUGGUUGGAUGCCAAAUCUCUGUAAAGCUCCUUCAACGAGUCGAGUAGUUUGGGAAUGCUGCUCUAAAUGGGAGGUAUAUGUCUUCUAAAGCUAAAUACCGGCCAGAGACCGAUAGCGCACAAGUAGAGUGAUCGAAAGAUGAAAAGCACUUUGAAAAGAGAGUUAAAAAGUACGUGAAAUUGUUGAAAGGGAAGCGUUUAUGACCAGACUUGGACUUGGUUAAUCAUCUGGGGUUCUCCCCAGUGCACUUUUCCAGUUCAGGCCAGCAUCAGUUUUCCCCGGGGGAUAAAGGCGGCGGGAAUGUGGCUCUCUUCGGGGAGUGUUAUAGCCCGCCGUGUAAUACCCUGGGGGGGACUGAGGUUCGCGCAUCUGCAAGGAUGCUGGCGUAAUGGUCAUCAACGACCCGUCUUGAAACACGGACCAAGGAGUCGUCUUCGUAUGCGAGUGUUCGGGUGUCAAACCCCUACGCGUAAUGAAAGUGAACGCAGGUGAGAGCUUCGGCGCAUCAUCGACCGAUCCUGAUGUUCUCGGAUGGAUUUGAGUAAGAGCAUACGGGGCCGGACCCGAAAGAAGGUGAACUAUGCCUGUAUAGGGUGAAGCCAGAGGAAACUCUGGUGGAGGCUCGCAGCGGUUCUGACGUGCAAAUCGAUCGUCAAAUAUGGGCAUGGGG
Molecule: ribosomal RNA, 824 nt
Filed under: Fusarium redolens
Lineage: Eukaryota; Fungi; Ascomycota; Sordariomycetes; Hypocreales; Nectriaceae
Description: partial large subunit ribosomal RNA
Rfam family: Eukaryotic large subunit ribosomal RNA
Source: RNAcentral